CAGAAAAUAGUUUAGUUUAGAAUCCUAGCUUUGGAGGCCC
RNAcentral lists this transfer RNA (40 nucleotides) under Tachysurus ussuriensis (Ussuri catfish). RNAcentral describes it as "partial tRNA-Pro". Lineage: Eukaryota; Metazoa; Chordata; Actinopteri; Siluriformes; Bagridae. The record is from RNAcentral.